AGGACGAACGCUGGCGGCGUGCUUAACACAUGCAAGUCGAGCGGAAAGGCCCUUCGGGGUACUCGAGCGGCGAACGGGUGAGUAACACGUGAGCAACCUGCCCUUAGCUUCGGGAUAGCUCCGGGAAACCGGAAUUAAUACCGAAUAUGACUUUGGCUGACAUCAGCAGAAGUGGAAAGUUUUUUCGGCUAGGGAUGGACUCGCGGCCUAUCAGCUAGUUGGUGAGGUAACGGCCCACCAAGGCGACGACGGGUA
Molecule: ribosomal RNA, 255 nt
Filed under: uncultured bacterium
Lineage: Bacteria
Description: partial small subunit ribosomal RNA
Rfam family: Bacterial small subunit ribosomal RNA
Source: RNAcentral